CCUACGGGAGGCAGCAGUGGGGAAUAUUGCACAAUGGGCGCAAGCCUGAUGCAGCAACGCCGCGUGAGGGACGACGGCCUUCGGGUUGAAACCUCUUUUAGCAGGGAAGCGGUACCUGCAGAAAAAGCGCCGGCUAACUACGUGCCAGCAGCCGCGGUAAUACGUAGGGCGCAAGCGUUAUCCGGAAUUAUUGGGCGUAAAGAGCUCGUAGGCGGUUUGUCGCGUCUGCUGUGAAAUCCGGAGGCUCAACCUCCGGCCUGCAGUGGGUACGGGCAGACUAGAGUGCGGUAGGGGAGAUUGGAAUUCCUGGUGUAGCGGUGGAAUGCGCAGAUAUCAGGAGGAACACCGAUGGCGAAGGCAGAUCUCUGGGCCGUACUGACGCUGAGGAGCGAAAGGGUGGGGAGCAAACAGGCUUAGAUACCCUUGUAGUC
This 431-nucleotide ribosomal RNA is filed under the name uncultured bacterium. Its description in RNAcentral is "partial 16S ribosomal RNA". It matches the Rfam family "Bacterial small subunit ribosomal RNA", at positions 338 to 795 of the family's 1533-position model. The record is from RNAcentral.